This is a long non-coding RNA of Bicyclus anynana (squinting bush brown), 3194 nucleotides long. RefSeq lists it as uncharacterized. The transcript has 2 exons. The record is from RefSeq and is a predicted model, not a curated record. NCBI's taxonomy places the organism in Eukaryota, Metazoa, Arthropoda, Insecta, Lepidoptera, Nymphalidae.
CAAUAACCAACCACUAAAAACUCAACUUUUUUUAGUUUAAUCGAUUUUUAAAUGGAUAAUAAAUAAUAAUAAUCGAGCAUAACAUUACCAACUGCACCAUUUAAAUAUUAUCUAUACCAAUAUUAUAAAGCUGAAGAGUUUGUUUGUUUGUCUUUGAUUGAACGCGCUAAUCUCAGGAACUACUGGUCCGAUUUGAAAAAUUCUGUCAGUGUUAGAUAGCCCAUUUAUCGGGGAAGGCCCUUUAAGAAGGGAAGACCAUUAUAUAUUAUCUCCACAUUCUUAAGGGUACGGGAACCACGCAGGUGAAACCGCGCGGCAUCAGCUACAGCUAUACUAAGCUGACAUAAAUAAGUGGUCAAAGUGGUCUUAAUAGUUAAUAUUCAAUCCCUUUCUUCCGGUAACUUUUUCCUUUCAUCCGAUCAAAUUCUAUAUAUUUCUAUGUAUGUAUAAAUAGUAUACAUAUUGUAGAUAAUAUAUUAUGUUUACAUAAUACAUUGACACAAAAUUGCAGGCGUCCGCAAGUUUGUCCGGAUGAAAACGCAAUAUCAUGACAAACUACUUGUAUAAAUCUUCAUCUUGAACCACUUUAUUUAUUAUUGAAAACCAAUAAAAACCAUUGCGUUGUGUAAAAGAUGGUGAAAAGAAUGACGUGUUAUUCUAGUAAUAAAAUUAUUCAAUUACAAAUCGAUAAGAAGUUAUUCGAUUUUUCGUGUUUCUUAUGGCAACAUCGAUUUGACUUUUUGACAGUUCAUGUCAAUAAUUGUCAAUGUCAUUCUCAUUUUAUUAAUUAGCUAAUGUAAUUGAAUUAAUUUACUUUGUAUUUGAAAUAAUAGGUACCGAAUUAUAAUUUUUCAAACCACAGCUAGAAUAUAAAUAAAACUUCUUCUCCUCACAGCUCCAGUACGAAGUUAAAUUCUAAAUUCGAAUAACUUUGACCCUGAAUCGGACCAAGUGCAACUUUAUCCCAUUUCUCAGAUGUAAACACAAGAGGACAUUUUCGCUGCAUUAAUCAAUGUUAAUAACAUUAUUAAAAUUAUUAUAGUUGGCAUUAAUUGUCAAUAAAAUGUCAGGAAAAUACGAAACAUACUCGUAAACAAGUACACAGCAGUUAUCCAGCGUCAUCCCAAGUUUGUCAAAAUUGCUGGAAAACGACUGAUAAAGCAGCAUCUUGCAAACCGCUCUUCAUGGAUCGCUCCACGAAUAUUCUAGGAGAGCCACACUACGGGAGGAAUGGCAGGCUUGCCACUGCACCCAAAUGACGACCACGACCACUCUGUCAAGAGUGUAACGACAAAAAAGAAGAAGAGCUGUUCGGAGAGCGAUAUUUUUUUUAGAGCUGUUGAAACAAGAAGAUUCACAAAAAAAAUUGCAUUACAAUAUUUAUACAAAGCAAAAAAGCUUACAAAUCAAUGCAUUGACUUUUUGUAUUGUAUUGUAUGUACACGAACAAUCCAGAAUAGUCUUGCAAUCAAGCCUGACAUCAAUUAUAUUGUAAUACAACAUCAUAAAAAGCUAUACAAAAAUUACCAGAUGAAAAAAAAUACCUUAUAUUUGAUGAAGUAGCAAUAACUCCUGUAUUAUAAUAUCUUAUAACCUGUGAUAUAAUUAUUAUUGGUUUGGAAGAUUUUGGGCACCAUAAGACCAAUGAAAUUGCUGAUGUUGAAUUGUUUAUAGUCAAGGGUAAAUAUAAGCAGCCUAUAUAUCUGUUACCUUGACACUACACAUCUAAAAGGAUUGAGAAACAACCUUACAAAGAAUAUAAGAUACAUUCGAAAUGGAGAAGUUAAGCAUGCUUGCAAAAUGGCAACAUCUACAUUACAGAAUACAGAUGCUUCUUUUUCUUAAUCCUGAUCCUGAUCCUGUUUGUUAAUUUUUAAAGCACAACAAUUUAAUGGAGGUGUGGAAUCGAUCUGAUUGAUGGUAGAGUCAAAACACAGACGAGGGAACUCCUCAAUGAUUUACAACAGUUAUCAUGUGUUUGGGUUUAAUUAAUUUGUAUAUACUAACAUAAAAAACAAAUAAAUCGUACUUGUAUGUCUCAGUGUGGAAAGGAUUUAGUUUAUGUCAUUCCAAAACAAUAAACUGUAUUUGCACAAAAAUUCAUAGAUUUUCUUGGUCCUAAAUUAUAUAAUGCCAUAAGCAAGUAUAUAAUGUUAAGAAAUUUUACAAGUAAUAAAUUAAAAGCAGAGUUGAUUAAAUAUCUUUACACCUUAUAUUACAACCAAGUUGAGGAUCUUCUUAAGAACAUAAUAUAGCCAAUUAAUGCAAACGUAUAUUCAACCAAUUUAAUACCAUAUUACCAAUAUUCACACACAAACAUACACAAUGUAACUUCACUAAUGUUCCUUCAAGAACAAAGACAUUUUUCACGCUUACUCAAAACCCCUCAUAAUUUAUUUAUUGUAUUAAUAUUUAAUAUAUUAUUAAUGUACCUAUGUAUAGUUAAAUACAGUACAUUCAGAAACAAAUUAUAUUAAUAUACAUAACUAGAAUUAUGUACUUUACAUUCUUCUACAUUACUACAAUACUUACUUAUUACUUAUUGUGAGAAAUAACAUUUUAGAUGCAUUCAAUAAUUAAAAGCUUCCCCAUUUUUACUCCUACCAGCGAACAUUGUUCGAUGUGAUUAUUUGUUUUAAUAUUAAUUUAUGUUUCAAGAUGAAUAUGUGUACAUUGUAAAACUUGGGCACGAGGAAUAAUGACUCACUGUAAUACAGUUUUAUACUAGUACAGGAGUUGUUGUAAUUUGUACCUAGGCUUAAAGAUAAAUAAAGAUAAAUAUACUUUAUUUGCACACCACAAAGACAAAAACAAGUGAAAUAAAAAACAAAUUAAGAAGAGAUCAGCAUACAAAAGGCGGCCUUAUCGCUAAGUAGCGAUUUCUUCCAGGCAACCUUCGGUUUAGGAAAACUUAAGGACAUCAGCAGGUGGCGUAAAACAAAAAUAACCAUAGUAUUAGUAAUACACAUACAUACAAAUAAUUCAAAGGCUUCACACAUCUUUAUAUUGCAAUAAAAAAUGUACUUACUAUUUAGCUAUUUUACUGUUAAAUAUAAUUUGUAUAUGUAAUUUGUACAUGUAAACAUUCAUCUUUAUUAAUAUUAGUAAAGAUUUAGCUUAAGAUACAUAUUAUUAACUGUAACACUUUUGUACAAUAAAUAAAUAAAUAAAUUGAUGAGAACUUUCUACCUAGA